This 23-nucleotide non-coding RNA is filed under the name Arabidopsis thaliana (thale cress). Lineage: Eukaryota; Viridiplantae; Streptophyta; Magnoliopsida; Brassicales; Brassicaceae. The record is from RNAcentral.
AGCGACAGUCGCCAGGGACCAGC